This 1669-nucleotide long non-coding RNA is filed under the name Schizosaccharomyces pombe (fission yeast). The record is from RNAcentral. Lineage: Eukaryota; Fungi; Ascomycota; Schizosaccharomycetes; Schizosaccharomycetales; Schizosaccharomycetaceae.
UAUAAUUGUUUGGUGGAAGUCAGAUUGUCCAACGAUUGCAAUGAAAGGCGCUCAGCUUUUGUUAAUUGAUACAUGCGAUAGCAACUUCACAUGACACUACUUAAACAAAUUUGUUGACUCGUAAGAAUAAGUUGCUUUUGGGGGUUUGCGCCAUUCGCAACUAUUUGAUAAAUGUGUAGUUAAGAAAAUCUUGGUUUGGUUAUCUAAAAUGGCGCGAGCUUCUCAUCCAAACUUUUUCUUUAAAGCCAUUUUAGAGACCAAUAGUGAACUGAUUAUUGUAUUAAAGAUAUAGUAUUGCAGCAGUAAAAUGUUAACAUUAACGUAAUCAGUGCACUCAAUUUUGUUAAAACAUAAGCACAAACGCAAUGAUAAAAGGCAUUGCUGAACUUGGCUGAUCUUUUUUCUUAUUUCUCUUCUUUUUUUGUUUUUUUUUUGGAAUAGGUAGAAAAUCAAUUAGGAAACGUCUGCUAUGCCACCAGGUGUAAUCACAUAACUGCACUCGGCUUCAGGCAUAUCUGGAGAAUCAUUCAAUUUUGCGACACGUUCCUCACCUCGACCUUUUCUUAACAGCAGACGGGUCGCGCUUGCGUGAGCCAUGACAUGGCCUCCUACAGGUUUUCGAUCGUUGGACGCAAACAUCAUUGCUGCUCCGGGGUCUGCUUGAACCUGAUUUGUGACAAAGACCGCUACGUUAAACUCUUCAGAAAUAUGAUUUAAUCUAGCAAGCAUAAUGUUUAAUUUUUGUUGCCUUUCUGAUAAUUCCCCGCGACCCGAAUAGUCAACCCGAAAUAGUGCCAUGAUGGAAUCGACAAUUAACAAACGGUAUUGGCCAUCUUCAGCAAAAAUGGUUCCUAAUUUUGUGAUGUAUUCCAUUUGUUGCUCAGAGUUGUAUGCUCUACUGACAAUGAUAUUCUCCAUAGCCUGAUCGGCGUCUACACCAAAUCGUUCUGCAAUGGCUUUGAUUCGAUCAGGUCGAAAUGUUCCUUCUGUAUCUAUGAAUGCUACUUUUCCUUCGGCCCCGCCCAUAUCUCGAGGAAGCUGGGCAGUGACACACAAUGUAUGCGACAUUUGUGUUUUACCACAACGAAACUCUCCAAAUACUUCUGUAAUACUCAUCGACUGAAUUCCCCCUCCAAGGAUGCCAUUGAGUGCCUCGGAUCCUGUCGAAAUACUCCAUACUUUUUUACGAUUUUGACUGAUUUCCAUCGCAGUGGAAAAGUUUGCUGGGCACAUUUUUGAUGCCGCUUCCUUCAGUUUAUCCACUUUGGCUUCGCUGAAACCUUUGAUUUUAAGGAGAAAUCUCUUUGUGGACAUAUGGACUCCUUGCACCGUACAAACGCCUGCUUGCUUCAAUUUUAUGAUAUCGGUCAUACCAAUCCCUUUGAUUAUGUUAGUAGAUAUUUAAAGCAAAUACUGGGAGUCUUAUAACUGCCGUAUACUCAUUCAAGCUUACCGUGAGCAGUUAGGUCUUCAAUGUCACUAAAUAUCAUUUGUUCAUCAUCAUUCCCCUCUGCGAAUUCUUCCAUUGCACUUUAUUUUUAUAUUGAACGUGUAUUAAUCAAAUUACACGGUUUUUGGUUGUUGUUCGUACUAUGUAGAAAGAAGAAUUGCUGUAGUUAUCCACGAUAUAUAUAUUGCGGAAAUUCCCAAAAUUACCUCUCUAAAUCAC